Molecule: ribosomal RNA, 658 nt
Filed under: uncultured bacterium
Lineage: Bacteria
Description: bacterial SSU rRNA
Rfam family: Bacterial small subunit ribosomal RNA
Source: RNAcentral
AACGAGCGCUGGCGGCAGGCCUAACACAUGCAAGUCGAGCGCACCUUUCGGGGUGAGCGGCGGACGGGUGAGUAACGCGUGGGAACGUACCCUCUUGCCUGGGAUAACAGCUGGAAACGACUGCUAAAACCGGAUGAGCCCUUUGGGGGAAGGAGAGGAUCGGCCCGCGUCUGAUUAGAUAGUUGGUGGGGUAACGGCCUACCAAGUCUACGAUCAGUACCUGGUUUGAGAGGAUGAUCAGGCACACUGGGACUGAGACACGGCCCAGACUCCUACGGGAGGCAGCAGUGGGGAAUCAUAGACAAUGGGGGAAACCCUGAUCUUGCCAUGCCGCGUGGACGAUGAAGGCCUUAGGGUUGUAAAGUCCUUUCACCGGGGAAGAUAAUGACGGUACCCGGAGAAGAAGCCCCGGCUAACUCCGUGCCAGCAGCCGCGGUAAUACGGAGAGGGCUAGCGUUGUUCGGAAUUACUGGGCGUAAAGCGCGCGUAGGCGGGCUGUUAAGUCGGGGGUGAAAUCCCGGGGCUCAACCCCGGAACUGCCCUCGAUACUGGCAGCCUUGAGGAUGGCAGAGGCCAGUGGAAUGGCGAGUGUAGAGGUGAAAUUCGUAGAUAUUCGCCGGAACACCAGUGGCGAAGGCGACUGGCUGGGCCAUUUCUG